UGCUUUUUUUUUUUCUUUUAAAUUUCGUCUUAGUUUUUCACCCAAUUCCCCCAUUGCGUUGGUUUUAUUUUUUUUUGCUUUCGUCAAUGGAGGGAUUUCGGGAGGUUUUGUGGGUGUGGAUUUUGGGUUGUAUGAGGCGGGAGGGAGACAUGAUUUGGUUUUGGGGUUUAAGCGAUUGAGUUAGAAAUUUUUUAAUUCUGGUGUCGUUAGUUGGGAGCUGGAUCGAUUUUUGUUGUAAAAAUCUCGUGUUUUUUUUUUUUGGCUAAUGUAGAUGGAGAAUUUGGAAGAUGACUGGCUCGAUUUGUGCGAGUUUAAGAGUGAAUCUGAUUUUGUAUGUGCUUGAUAACUUGUUUCAUAUAGGAUUUGAAAUUUUGGUUUUUACGUUUUCUAUUGGUGUAAGAAUUGACUUUUAUUAUGAACUUUAGGCGUUGCGCCUCAUUCCCUGGAUGAGGUGGUGGCAUAUGUGGAACUGGAAAAUGGGACAAAUGAUCACUUGAUCAAUCGCCAGUCUGAAGUUGUUAACAAUAUAUUCUUUGCUGCAGUUAAAUGUCAUUUUGAUGGGUGCAAAACUGCUAUGCAGUUCUAAGAAAUGCCUAUUUAUUCAUAAUAUUUUGGGUG
This 618-nucleotide unclassified non-coding RNA is filed under the name Hevea brasiliensis (rubber tree). The record is from RNAcentral. Lineage: Eukaryota; Viridiplantae; Streptophyta; Magnoliopsida; Malpighiales; Euphorbiaceae.